Oryza barthii is the source of this 202-nucleotide non-coding RNA. The record is from Rfam. Lineage: Eukaryota; Viridiplantae; Streptophyta; Magnoliopsida; Poales; Poaceae.
UUUAAGUGCAAUCAUAAGUUUUCGCGUCCAACUUUAAUUAUCUGUUUUAUUUAAAAAAAAUUAUAAUUAGUAUUUUUAUUGUUAUGAGAUGAUAAAACAUGAAUAAUACUUUACUCGUAACUUAUGUUUUUAAUUUUUUUAAAAAAAAUUUAAAAAAAUAGAUGAUUAAAGUUGCGCGUGGAAAAUCAUGGGUACAUUUAAA